Molecule: long non-coding RNA, 8896 nt
Filed under: Phaseolus vulgaris (common bean)
Lineage: Eukaryota; Viridiplantae; Streptophyta; Magnoliopsida; Fabales; Fabaceae
Description: long non-coding RNA (PVUL_LNC004311)
Source: RNAcentral
CUUUGACAUUUCCAUCUCCUUGAAUGAAUAUCUUGUCGCGAGGAGGAACAGUGGUGUCAAUCUGUGCUAGGUUACGUAAGAAGUAACCGGUAAAAGCAUGACAACACAGGUAAGUGUAAGGAACUCCCUCAGCUUCAAUUAUUCUCCGGAUUUUUGCUUUUUCCUCAAACACUUCUCUCACUGGUUCAACUGAGUCGUGACGAUCCACAUCCAGUCCAAAUUCAGAUGGGAAGAAUCUCUGUUGAAUAAUGGACACUUAAUAUGUGACAAUAUAUAGAAGGAUUUAUAUAUGGAAAUUUUUUUGCAUGAGCAAGAGUGGCACCUUGAUGUUUCCAGCUUCUUUUAUGGCUGCAAUGAUCUUCACCUGGUCUUCUAUGAGGAGUCUUCCAAAUGAGCAGAUUACGACAUCAACUUGUUUGAUUGCGCUGAGCAGACUUUGAUGAUCAUUCAUAUCUCCCUGCAGAGACAAAUGAGUAGUAUAAAUAGUCUGAGAAGAGUUGAAAAAGAGAAAAUGGUAAAAAUGAUGAUGAGAUGAAGAGAGGAAGGAACCUGGAUUAGAAAAACUCCAGAAUUUUGGAAGUUCUGAAGGAGCUCUUCCCUGGUUUCAGGAUUGGCAGCUGUGACAAGCCUUGGCUUGUUAACAGUGGGUGGAGUGUCCCUAACCAAGACAUAGGUGGGAUUGCCUGCCUUCACACUUGCCCACACAAUGUGUCUUCCAAUGGCUCCUGUGGGUCCCAAAACAAGGAUUCUAUCUUUUCCAGCCAUGAGAGGAUAUCACAGUGAAAGCAAGCACUGAGCAGUGUGUGGUUUUCUUGUUUUGUAGGUAACUGAUUAAAGCAAGAAUGGCUGUGUGAUGAAUAGACAGCAACACUUGGGUUGGUAUUUAUAGGGCAAGCAAGUUUUUGGGAUAUGAGAAAUGUGGCUGAAUAUGUCAACAAGAAUAACUGAGUAAAUAAAGAAAUAUGUAUUUUUUGACAGAAGGGAGGCUGCGCCAUGAAUUCAGCGGUCCAAAACCAACGAAUAUUUGAGUUUGGUAUAUGAUGUUCAUAAGAUGUGUUCUAAACGUAUAUCUACAGCAUUGGUCUCCAUGUUGAACGCACCAAAAAUAAACAAAUAUCUAUUUCCUCACCGCGCCCAUCUGCAUCAUGGCGUCAUGAAUUCUCAAGGCCAAUAAAAGCCAUCAUUUUGACUUUCGUUUAUUUUUAUUUUUAUGCAGCACAUAUGUUUGCAAAUAAACAAGCUAAUGUUUAAUAAAUUACAUCUUAGUGUUUUAUGUUUUAGAGAUUACUUAUGUUUGAUGUUUGUGUUGUGUAAGGUGUUCGUGUCUUACCUAGUUUGUAACUCAUUUGAAACAUAUACUCAGUUUAAUAUACGCUCCAGUCAAGAAGAUUAUUAAGCAAACUAGAAACUCAAACAUAUUUAAAAUAAAAAUAUUUUGAUUCGAAAAAUUAUCCAAUAUUUAGUGAAAAAUGGAAACAUGAGUUUGUAAGAUAUUUAAAAAAGAAAAACGUCAAUUUUGUGCAACAUACCACAUUGGAAGAAUCAGUCAAUGAAGAUACAGCAACCGAACAUAACUGUCAAAAAAGGGUGCAUUCAAUAAACAUUUUUGUUUUUUUGUGUUUUUCCUGCAACCGCCUUACAUAGUUUAAACAAAUGAGUCUAUGCUUUUGAUUAAAAUGAUUUAUAAUUUACAUAACAUGUUUCAGUUUUUAAUUAUUAUCUAGUUUUUAUCACAGGAAAUAAUACAGUAAAUAUUUACCCAAUGUAAAAUUGAUACAAAAUAAGUUUUAAAUGAUAAAAAAAAUUAUUAUGAUGAAGAAACGUAAGAGACAUGAGAAAAAGUUAUUAUGGAAGAAUUAUGAGUGAAGAAAUAAUAUGACUGUACUAAGCCCGGCGGUAAUCGGAUAAUGUUAUUAUAAUCUCUAAAGUUCUAAAAUGGCGACAUCGUUGAAUGUCUCUUUUCAUCUUUUUAAUAAAUUGGUUGAAAUCUUGUAGAUUCUUCUUCUUCUUUGGUCUUAUAACAAAAAUUAUUAAAAAUUUAGAAUCAGAACAAGUCAAUGAGUAAUUCUUUUAAAAUGUAAUAUUCAAAUAUGUUAUUAAUAUCUAAGGUUAAGAAUUUUAGUUUCUAUCCUUUUUUUCUAAAUCAUGGUACAUUAGAAUGUAGUAUAUUUACGAAUGAAUAAGUAUUCUAACUCUUUUACAUAAUUAUCAGUACAAGAAAAAUUUAUUUUAACUGUAAAAAAAAAAAGCUAUAAAAAAAAGCUAUUAAAAAGGUGAAGCCUAUUCAAUUGGACACAAAAAUAAAUAUUAAAUAUUGUGUCCACAAUGAAGAUCUAACUCACAUUAUUUUUUUUUAAAAAAGAAUAAUAAUAAGUUAGCGUCUAGAACGAAGAGACAAAAUAGAUGCAAUGAAAAAAAUUAAGUGUCAAAAUAAAAUUAAGUCUAGAAUCAACACACAAAGUGGAUGCAAGUUAAAAAUUAUUAAAAGUAAUAAUAAUAAGUUAGCAUCUAGAAUGAAGAACAAAGUAGAUGCAAUCAAAAAAUAAGUUGCAAAAUUAUAUUGCAUCCAAAAUAGGGACACAAAAUGGAUGCAAGUUAAUAUUUUAUUACAUUUAGCUUAUGUCUAGGCGACACUAAUAUUUGUUUCUCAAGUAGUGUCCCCAAUGGUGACACUAAGUUUAAUUAUUGUUAGAGAUUUCACAUCGACUAGAAAUUAGAACAUUUCAUAGUACAUAAGUGGUUGCAAACCUCACCUUAUAAGUUGAUUUUAUGAGGUUAAGUUAAGCUUAAAGUUCACUUCUUAAUAUGAUAUAGAAUCAUUUCGAGUCUAUCCUAACAAUUGUUUGUUGGUCUUAUCAGACCAUCUAGUAUCGGUAUGUUAUCAUACCACCCAUAAUAUAUAGUUCCACACAUAUAAGUGGGUGCAAAUAUAACCUUAUAAGCCAGUUUUAUGAGGUUGAGUUAGGCUUAAAGUUCAUUCUUAAUAAUUAUUUAAUUUUAUAUUCAUUUUAGUGUCCCCUAAACCUACACUAUAGUUAAAUAAUAUAUUUUUCUUUAUGUAGGCUUAGCUAACAUUAUCUUGUAAAUUUGUAUCCCAUUGGAGGUCGUCUCUAAUGCAUAGCCACCAAAAGAUUAGCUUCCAUUUCUAUUGGGACACUAAGUCCACAUUAGCUCCAUGUAGCGUCUUUCUUUUGCUCUUUGCAUCGCCUUUUUGGAGACUCUACCAUCAUUAUUUCUUGUAGUGUAUAGAAUAAAUUUUAAUGUCUGGUGACUUAUAUUGUUGUUUAUCUUCAUAAAAAAAAAUUGUUUUUUUUCUAUUAUAUUAAUGUAUUCUUUACUAAUUGUCACACCCCUUUUAUAUAUUCCAUGACAUGAUUUCAGUUACUAUAUCUUAUACAUCACUUAUACAAUAACAUAAUUAUGUGCAUAUAUACUCCUAUUUUUUACUACCUAUUUCAUCGUCAUUGUUUUCACUAAAUAGUUUGAGUACCUUAGCUUAUAGUAUCUUGUUGUUGUGUAUGAGAUUGCACGAAUGUAAAUAAAACAAAGUAAAGAGUUGUGUCAUUCAAUUGGAAAAUUGGGAUUGGGGGUUAAUCCUUCUCACUCUUUUGUAUUUUGAAAAUAAUAUAAUAUUUUUCUUUGAUUGAUAUUGAUGUUCAUAUAAAAUUCAUUUAUAUUGAUUCCUCACAUAUAAAAUUAUUAACAUAGUCUCAUGAAUAUCAAUUCCUCGCAUAUUUAUAAAAACUCCUUAUCGUUACGAACAUAUGUUGAUAUCAAUUAAAUUUUCAAAUCUAUCCAUAACAUUAUGUUAAGCAUUAUCAUUUAGGUCUUAAAAGUACUUUCCAGUAAAAUCUAAGAAUCAAAAUAAUGAUAAAUCAAGUGUUAAGAAUAAAAUUGCAAUACCAAUCAUCAAUCAAGAAAAAAAAGUUAUGUUUAAAUAUCAUCUCAAUACAUAAGAGUUUGAACAUAUUACUCUCAAUCCGAAAUGUAGAAGUGGUCAUCCAUGUUGGCCAUUACAAACAUGGAAAACAAGAUCCAAGAUAUGAUUCUCCUUGACGACGACCUCCUCUAGGAUUUUCUAUCUCCUUCUAAUGAUAUUAAUGAUGAUAUUAAUAUUAAUAUUUUUAUUAAUAUUGAUAAUAACAAUAUUAAUAUUAAUGAGAAUAUUAAUAUUAAUAACAUUAUUAGUAAUAAUAAUAUUAAUAAUAUUAUUAGUAUUAAUAAUAUUAAUAAUAUUUAUAAUAUUAAUAAUAUUCACAAUACUUAAUAAUAUUAACAAUAUUUAAUAAUGUUCCUGCAAAAGGGUCCAAAAACUCUCUUUAAGCAGAAUGUGUUGACUUCUCGGAUUGGGCUUUUUGGGUUGGACUCUCGGAUUAGGCCUUCGGGUUGGACUCUCGGAUUUGGCCUUUGGGUUGGACUCUCAGAUUGGGCUCUUAACUCCUACUUAGUUGAACCUAAGUUUGGCAAGCUUCUUAAGUUGGGUUGGAUCAACUGCACCCUUCGACUUCUCCUCUCGGUCUCCUUUCGCGGUUGGGUGUGUGUGCCUGCAAGACACUCCGAUGCCAAAGUCAGAAUUAGUUUUAUGUAAUUAUUAGAUAAAAAUCACUCCACUUACCUCUUAGACUAAUGUCCUAUUUAUAGUGUUUUCUUAUUGGGCUCAUAACCUAUUUGGGUCUUUCUUUUUGUACCUAAUAUCUUUUUAAACACACACCUAUUAAUCUGUGCCUUAUCAUGCUGGACCUUGCUACAGUAACCAUAUUUAUUAUAUAUAUAUAUAUAUAUAUAUUUCUUAUAUUUAACUUUUUUAUAUAUAUACUUUUCGACUAGACCUUUCAUCUAUACUUUUCGGUUAGACCUCUCGGCCUAGCAGUACACUAGCCCCUAGACAUGAGGAUUUUUGUUGAAAAAGACAUUAUGCCUAAAAAUAAAAAUAAAAAGGUGCAUUCAAAUCUUGUCGUAGAAAAAUCUUUUUUCAAAUCAUUUUGAUUUUGUAUUAAAUGCCUCGUUUUAUGUGUUUUUUCUCGAUCACAACGAUUGACUUGAUGUGAUAGAUGCACCUGACCGUUAGAUGCGAAACAUUUUAACGAUUAAGAUGUCAUGACCUUUCAAGUGUAGGGUUUUAUUGUUGUUAUAAAUAUCCAAUCUCAUUUACACUUUCUUGUAUUCUUACUUAUGAGAGUUUUAGUAAAUUGCAUCAAGGUAUAAUGUCUAUCUCCAACUCUGUUUCCGUGUCUGAUGAAUUUAUGGGUUUUUCGAGCGCGGGUGGCGAAUCUACUGGAAGAGUGAUACGAGACGACCGAGAUGCAUAUUCGGUUUCAUCAUCUGCUACUCUUUCAUGUACGAAGGAUUCAAAUGAAGCGACUACAAAUGUUGAAGUCGAUAGAGCCAAGAGGACUACACCAAGGAUAAAUCUUCAUCUCGGUAAUAUUUGGGUCAAUCCUAAGGUCUAAGAACUUUUCUCUCGGUAUCGUUCUUCUAAAGAUCUUCGUGAUUUUCUUUCAAAUAUUCACAUUUAUUCUCUCAAUGUUGUUGAAGAAAUAAUUUCUUUUCGUGUGGUGGAGAUGUUGAUAAUGUUUGUCAUGGUCGUGAAGAUGAUAGUUGUGAUUUUUUUUAAUUUUAUGAAUUUUUUUUACUGAUCUUCACAUUUGAUUUCCUUUAAGCGAAUUUCAAAUGGGUGUACUCAAUUAUCUAAAUAUUGCUCCUACCCAACUUCAUCCUAAUGGUUGAGCUUCUAUGCAAGCUUUUAGUAUCUUGUGUAAACUAAUGUCGCUUUUUCCUAGUCCAAAAGCUUUCUUGUAUUACUAUAGUUAUCGGCCUGGUAAACGACCAAGUUGGUUGUCUUUGAUUAGUGAAUCUAGAAUUUGUUUUCUUAAACCUUUUACUUCCUCAUAUAAGAAUUUCAAAGGAGGUUUUUUCAAAAUUCUAAUCGAGGAGGAUGGAAGGAAAUAUUUCUUUGAUGGUGAUGCUCCAAAAUUUCCUUUCUACUGGACUAGUCAACCCUUGAAGUUUAACUAUUGGUCAUACCAUUCGAUGGAUGUCGAAGAUCGUCCUGUUAUUGAAGUUCUCGAUCAUUAUCCUACCAGAUUCCUACUCGCGCUCUAUUACGGUUAUACACCUCAAAAAUGCCGAAAAAAGAUUUCUUUGGUAUGAGUUUGUUCAAAAUUUUGCUACGUAACAAGAGAUUUUUAACUUUGCUAAAUGUUUUAUUGGUUUUUAGGUUUGAUGGCUACCACUAAUCCAAAAGCUCAAUCUUACUUCUCCAAAAUUGUGAACAAAGCAGGAGGUUUGACUCCUCGGCCUGAACCAGAAAUUAAUCAUGCAGUUGAAAUGGAGAUUGUCGAACCGAUAUCUCGGGUUGAAGCUAUUGAGCUCGAAAAUGAUGAACAUGUUGUUGGUCCUUCACAAAAGAAUAAGAAAAGAGAUUGAAGUACUAGGAGAUCACAUUCAUCUUCUAGGCGUCAUCGUCAUAUCCAAGGUAGUUCUUCACAAUCACUUCUAGGUUCAAUCUUUGCUGCUACUACUCGUUUUCGGAAUUUAUUCUAACGAACCUUGAUGAGUCCUCGUACAACAUGCUUAAAGCAUUUGAUGUUCCAUCUUUGGUUGAUUUUGUUAUUGAACUUUCAAGUCGUGCUUUAUUAAUCGAAAAAAUGAUGAAGGAAAAAAGUACAAGCGUAUUUCCUAUGCUGAUUUUGAAAGGAUGAAGACUGAACUUGCUAAAUCAAAUGGAAAGCUUAAAUCUUUUAAUGCUCAAAUAAAAGAGUUAGAUACUUUGAAUUUUCAUCAAGAAACCGAGAAGCUGGAUGUAUCUGAAGCUGAAGGUUUUGUUAUUGAUCAACAUAAAUUGGGUUUCGACUUCAACAAGCCAAAUAUUUUUACAAGAUUCCCUUGGAUGAAUGAAACUUUGAUGUUGACAAGGACUUCUACAAUGGUAAUGGGUGUUAUCCAAAACUUGUGGGGUAAGUUUUUCUUAUUCUGAUUGGUGUCUUGAGCCUCCGGAUUACAUGAGAUCUAUCAGAUAUUGCUAGGUGGUUUUACGUGGGGUGGGGAGGCAUAGGAGUUAUGUUAUGAUGUUUUUUUGUUUGUCUGGUUUAUGUAUUUUUGGUUGGUCAUAGUGCUUAAUUGUAAGAUGUUUGUAUAAGAAUUGAGGUAUCCCUAAAAUACUCCAUUAUAUUCCUAGGUUCGAGUCCUAGUCAGUGCAAAAUGCCUCUAGGUGACUACGACGGAUCAUUGGAAGCCAAAAAUACAUUUUCUAAAUUUUAAGAUCAAUAGGACGAAUAAAAGUGUUAACUAGAUUUGGGGUUGUGUAAGUUGUUGGUAGAUACGCUAUGGAUUCAUAGGAAUAGGAAGAUUUUUAAAAUAAGUACGAUAGACCACAUUGAAAUUUUGAGAAUGAUGUAACUUAAGGUAUGAUCAUGGAUGUUAUCUAAAAUGUGUAAGGUAAGUUUUUCAUAUUUCAAUUGGUGAUUUUGAGUCUCUCAGUGAGAUCUAUCCUAUAUUGUUAGGUGGUUUUACAUAGGAAUUAUAACUUUCCAUUAUAUUCAUUCGUUUUUUUCCCAUAAAAAAAAAACUCUUUGACCGUCAACCCCUUGCUCAAGUCCACGGAGCUUGCGUCUUCUUUUCAAUAACAAUGAUAUUUUUUAGCUGAAACUAAUUUCUACUUUCUUUUAUUGCCUUUUCUCUUUAUCUUUCUCUUAUCACAUCCCUAGUUUACAUUUCCUUAUUUUAUCUGUUUAUUUAGUGUGCCUCUUUAAUUAAACUCCAUCACGAGUGCAGUCCAGUGUGCUUGAAAAAAUUUCCAGGGACCCUCAACACGAAGCAUUAAAAGAAGCAAUGAGACGCAUUCAUCCAAGAAUGAUGUAAAAAUUUAGAAACAGUACUUUUGACUGCAGAUUACAGUGUUGCUAUUCUUUUUGGGUUAAAAGAAGAUGCAUUAAUAUAAUAAAUGGUUUCUAAAGGAUUAGACAAACGAAGGAAUUUUGAAAGAAAGGAAAACGACAUCAUUAGUCUUAUUGGAGAUUGCAUGAUAAGAUAUGUUCCUGAAAUUUGAGAAAUCAGAGAAACUGGUUCAAGUAUUCAUCAACAGUGGUGUAUUUAACAUGUGGAUAAGCCUGAGAAGCCUCAACGUCUUUGGUGGGAUCAAUCUCAUAGACUGCAUCUCCCCUUAUCUGCUGUGAGUGAUAUAACGCCAACAGGUAAUUAUUUGGGAAAGACAACUCUGCAGUAAACCAAAACCAAAACCAAAAUAAAUGAAUACAUGGUUUAUUAAUUUCACAAACUUAUUAUUCAACCUGCAGCAAUAUUAUAUAAGAUAAGAGAGUGUUACCUUGAAUAUUUUUCAGAACCUCUUCCUCUGGAACAUAGAUUUUCUCAAUACUCUUUCCAAUUUUUUUCUCCCACAAAGACACAAUCUCAUUUAAGCUCAGAUAAUUUGCAGGAAGUCUUAUAUGCACGGCUUUGUUUAAGGUGUUAGGGUCAUUCACUGCUUCCACGGUGUAAGUCCCCACAUCAGCCUCAGUCACAUAUGCACCUGAAACAACUCACUCACAAUAUUAAUUAUAUAUAUACACAUUCUUCAACCAAUUUUAUCACUUGUUUUCAAGAGUGUGUGUGUGCUAAAACAAUUAUUAAUUAUAAGUACCUUUGACAUUUCCAUCUCCUUGAAUGAAUAUCUUGUCGCGAGGAGGAACAGUGGUGUCAAUCUGUGCUAGGUUACGUAAGAAGUAACCGGUAAAAGCAUGACAACACAGGUAAGUGUAAGGAACUCCCUCAGCUUCAAUUAUUCUCCGGAUUUUUGCUUUUUCCUCAAAAACUUCUCUCACUGGUUCAACUGCAUCUUGACGAUCCACAUCCAAUCCAAAUUCAGAUGGGAAGAAUCUCUGUUGAAUAAUCAACACUU